CCCUUAGAUGUUCGGGGCCGCACGCGCGCUACACUGAAAGAAUCAGCUGGUAAGUUGCUCCUGGCUUGGAAACGUCGGGCAACCCGUUGAACCUCCUUCGUGCUUGGGAUUGGGGCUUGCAAUUAUUCCCCAUGAACGAGGAAUUCCCAGUAGGCGCGAGUCAUCAGCUCGCGUCGAUUACGUCCCUGCCCUUUGUACACACCGCCCGUCGCUCCUACCGAUUGGGUGUGCUGGUGAAAUGUUCGGAUCGGCCGUUUGUCGCGGUUUCCGCGUCAUGUGGCUGAGAAGUUCAUUAAACCCUCCCACCUAGAGGAAGGAGAAGUCGUAACA
This 330-nucleotide ribosomal RNA is filed under the name uncultured eukaryote. Its description in RNAcentral is "partial 18S ribosomal RNA". It matches the Rfam family "Eukaryotic small subunit ribosomal RNA", at positions 1470 to 1796 of the family's 1831-position model. The record is from RNAcentral.